This 472-nucleotide ribosomal RNA is filed under the name uncultured Paracoccaceae bacterium. RNAcentral describes it as "bacterial SSU rRNA". It matches the Rfam family "Bacterial small subunit ribosomal RNA", at positions 1 to 527 of the family's 1533-position model. Lineage: Bacteria; Pseudomonadati; Pseudomonadota; Alphaproteobacteria; Rhodobacterales; Paracoccaceae. The record is from RNAcentral.
UAGGGUUCGAUCAUGGCUCAGAACGAACGCUGGCGGCAGGCCUAACACAUGCAAGUCGAGCGCGCCUUCGGGCGAGCGGCGGACGGGUUAGUAACGCGUGGGAACGUGCCCAGAUCUACGGAAUAGCCACUGGAAACGGUGAGUAAUACCGUAUACGCCCUUAGGGGGAAAGAUUUAUCGGAUUUGGAUCGGCCCGCGUUAGAUUAGGUAGUUGGUGGGGUAACGGCCUACCAAGCCUACGAUCUAUAGCUGGUUUUAGAGGAUGAUCAGCAACACUGGGACUGAGACACGGCCCAGACUCCUACGGGAGGCAGCAGUGGGGAAUCUUGGACAAUGGGGGAAACCCUGAUCCAGCCAUGCCGCGUGAGUGAAGAAGGCCCUAGGGUCGUAAAACUCUUUCGCCUGUGAUGAUAAUGACAGUAGCAGGUAAAGAAACCCCGGCUAACUCCGUGCCAGCCGCCGCGGUAAUACA